AAAAAAUAAAAAAUCAAAAAAAAAAUAAUAGGGAGGAAAAAAGGGGGAUAAUGACUUGAUCUCUUUCAUGGGUUAUUUUAAAGGUGAAGUAAUUGAGUGUUUUAAGACCUGGAGCAGUGCCUGGCACAUGGAAACACUGUUUGUUACACAAAAAGAGCUUGGACUUUGAGGUCGGAGAGACCUGGCUUUCAGUUCUGACUCUGCCGCAUAAUAACUGCAUGACCUUGAGCAGGUACUGGUCUCAGUUUACUCAUCUGUGAAAUGGAGAUAAUAACACCCGUUUGAAAGGGCUGAUGUGGGAGUUGGUGCGACAAUAUAUGUGACUCCCUGAACAUGCCUGAUAUCUCAUGAGUGCUUAGAAGUGUUAGCCUCUACUAACAGGAAGGCGUCAACCAUCUCUAGAGAUACUUCAGAGGAUAGGGAAGGUGGCCUUGUGUCAGGGAUGGAGAGAUGAAGUGGUUGUAUCAGAGGGAAGUCAGAAUUAAUGCCAUGUACAGCCCUUCAACCCAGACUAUUUUAGCAGCCAGAGCUGCCAAAGGAAACAAAAAUAUGGUAGAGUCUAAUUUCAAUCCAUUGCUUGAAGGCAUUGAUUAAAUCAGAUAUGGGAUGGUGAAAUUUUGUAAAGACAUCAGGCACCUGUGAUAAAAUGAGAUGGUAAAAUUAGGGAGUCUGGACUUUGGCAUUGGCCAGCCUGGGUUUGGUUUCAGCUGCGCCAUUUGUUGGAGAUGUGGCCCUGGGCCCAUAUUGUUGGUGGGCUUCUCCCGGCAGCUGACCCUGAGUCUUAGACUUGAGUUGUGCUCACCUAUUUGGAUGCAGAUUUAUUGGGAUGCCCUUGAUUAUCUUGGGGAAGAGAGUCAGGAAGCCAGUACAAGGCGUGUUCAUGGCAGGCGAUGGCUGUGGCUGCCAGGAGCCCAGUUCUGCUUGGACCUUUGGAUGACCACACAGACCUGCCUCAGCCUUGUCCCACCCAUGGGGCGAAGAAGCUCAAAUAUUACCCGCUGACCACCCCCUCUCUUUAUUGGGGGGUUGCUCAAAUAAAGUGCCAGGGAGCAUCAAUGCCUUGGCACUUCCGUACUUGCCCCACUCAUGGGUCUAGGUGCUUCUGGGAACAGAGAAAGCCCUGGGGCAGAGUCUAGGCUCUAGGAAAAAGCUAAACAUGCUAACUUAUGAGUGAGGAGAGGGCCCUAGUCAGUUCUGGCUGCUGUCACAAAGCACCAUAGACUGGGUGGCUUCUAAACCACAGAACUUUGUUUCUCACAGGUCUUGAGGCUGGAAGCCUGAGAUCAGGGGUCAGUGCUGUCAGGAUCUGGCGAGGGCCCUCUUCUUGCUUGUCAGCUUCUUGUAGCCUCACGUGGUAGAAAGGGGCCCAGAGAGGAAUUCCCGUCGUGGGUUAAGAACCCAACUAGUAUCCAUGAAGAUGCGGGUUCCAUCCCUGGCCUUGCUCGGUGGGUUAAGGAUCCGGUGUUGCUGUGAGCUGUGGUGUAGGCCACAGACAUGGCUCAGGUCUUGCAUUGCUAUGGCUGUGGCAUAGGCCGGCACCUGCAGCUCCGAUUGGACCCCUAGCCUGGGAACUUCCAUAUGCCUCAGGUUUGGCCCUAAAAAGACAGGAAAAAGAGAGAGAGAGAGAAAAAAUGCAAAGAAAGAGGCAUAGAGAACUCUCUGGGAUCCCUUUUAUAAGGCCAGUAAUCCCACUGAGUGGGCUUAACCCUCAUGACCUGCUCACCUCCCAAAGGUCCCACCUGCUAAUAUCAUCCCCUUGGAAGCUAGGAGUUCAACCUAUGAGUUUGGAGGGAACACAAAUAUUCAGUCAUUCGCAGAGAGGCGAGGAUGGGCCCUAACAGCACACGCGAAGACAACGCGAGCUCCCUAAGCCUCGCUUCUUCCUUGAGAAAGUGGGCAUGAUAAUAACAUACACCUCGUAGCUCUUUGUGGGGAUUAAGGAUGAUCGUGAACAUACAAUGUUCGGCUGAUGCUGCUUGGAAAGCCUGAUGUAAUUAGCUUUCCUUGUUCUAAAAGAGAAAUGUAUGAACAAGGAGACUGUGCCUUGCAGAGGGUAGUGCCCAUAGAUUCCAUGAAGAAAUAAAUUGUUAGAGGGAAUUUGUGUCCAUUUAAUUUGCUUGGAGAAGUGCCCAUAAUAGAAUCUUUUACACCUGGUCACUUAAAAGAAUUAUGUGUGGCUGACACACUGAAGUCACAUUUAUCCACUCGGACAGAAGGUUCAUCUUGAGUAUAGAGCCUAUAAUUUACUUACAGGUGUAUAUGGUGGGAUAACUCAGGUUAAUGUCCGUGAACAGAGACCAACAAUUAGCAAGUUAAUUAGGGUCCUGAUUUUAGUAGCGAAGGGUAAUCAUUUAUUAGCUUAGGUCAGACCCUGGGCCUUCCCGUGGCGUGACUUUCUAUGAAAAUAUUGACUGAGAGGGACUCCCUGUAACUUCCCUAGUACAGUUCACAUGCUUGGGAAACUCAUUAGCUGUUGCAGAGAUAGGAUGACAGUAAGUUUAGGAUGCCUGGCUUCAGCUGGCUUGUUUUAAGUCGAUGGCCGACAUCGAAAUAGAAUUCUAACACAACGAUGGGAGCAUCCGUUCUUCCACACCCCACCCAUUGCUGUUCAAGUGCUGCUCUGCUGGUGUCUGACGGCUGGGUGCUGGCACUUGCUUUUUUCCAGCCAAUAUCUCAGAUAAAUUAACAUUAUUAUUUCAUAUGAGGCAUUUCUUGAAAAAGCAUAUAUAAAGAGUACUCUUGUGCUUCGGGGCUAAAAAAGCCUCAGGAAGUGGUAAGCUUUUCUCUUUCUUGUUUUUCACAGUGACAGCCAUUGACCCGUACUGGGGAUUCUGUCUAAGGGGCUGGAGAUUAUAAAUCCAAUUUGGAGAAGGGGAGAGGGCAUGGACGGAAGGGGCAUCUUGCGUGGAUGAAGGUAUGAGUGGCAGGCAGCUCCUCUUUUUUUUUUUUUUUUUUUGCUAAUAAAAGGCAUGGGGUUCAUUGUACUCAUUUUGUCUUCUUACCCGACCCUUCUUCUGGCACUGGCACCUACUGAGCUUGGUUGGAGAGUUCCUUAGAAUGUCCCUUGACUAAUAAGGUGGAGGCUUGGCCAUGCCUCAUAAGCUAUAGAAGGGAUGAUGGACAAGGCUUUUAAAAUCUGCCCGGCUCCUGUUUCCUAUGCCAUCCGUCAUGAAUUGUGAGCGAGUUGUUUCUGUUUGUAAAAUAGGAGCAGAGAUGAGGUCGUGACAGACGCAGCUUUGGUAAAAGGCGCUUCAGCUUUCUGAUGGACGAGAACAUCUCGUGGCUUCUCUUUGCUGGGGGCAGAUUCCUUCAACACUUUUUUUUUUUUCCUCUCCCCAUUUUGCUUUAAGCUGAAUCCGCCAAAGGAAAUGCCUGCGAUUCAAAGUCCAAGUUAACAACAAAUGAAUGCUUUUAAGUGGCAUGUCAUUGUGGGUUUUUUUCUUCAGAUUAUUUGGGGAAACUUAAUUUUAGUUAACUAGAAGAGAACUAAAUGGAGGAAAUAGCCCACAAAUAAUGUUCCCUGACCCAGGUCCCAGGAUUCUAGUGCAUGUUGGUGCCCACUUUAAUGAACUGUUUAUAUUUGACAAGCACUCUUGUGUUGGAGGCAAAAUAAGUGCCUGUUCCCCCCAAAUGUCCACAUCCUAAUCGCGCAGAGUCUGUGAAUGUUAUUUGACAUGACAAGAGGCACUUUGCAGAUAUGAUUAAGGGCACAGACCUGGAGGUGGAGAGGUCUUCUUUGGAUUAUCUGAGUGGAUCCAACCUACUCACCUGAGUCCUUAAAAUUGGAGGACUUUUCCUGGCUGUGGUGAGAAAGAAAGAAAGAAUGGCCCGAGAAGGAUCUGAUGCCCCACCACUGGUCCUGAGAUACAGGGGCUGUGUGCCAGGAGCUGAGUUCUGCCAACAGCCCCUCUCAGUGAGAGAAUGACCUUCUCUGAGAGCCUCCAGAAAGGAGGCUAACUCUGCCAAUGUUUGAUUUUAGCCUGGUGAGACCCGAAUUCUGACCAACAGAACUGUAAGGUAAUGCAGGUGCAUCGCAUUAAACCACAGAGUUUGAGGUUCUUUGUUAUAGCAGCAACAGCAAACUAAUACAUCUCAGUUUCUCUGGUGUAGAGUUUUCCUAAUAACGAGGAACCAAUCAGGAAGGGCUGAAUCAUUUCCUUUCAAAAUCAAAAGCUCUGGCUCCAGUGUUUCAGUGGAUUCCAGCUUGUGGUCCUGCGUUGCUUGGAUGUCGGAAGACUUGGCGAUCAACAGCUAAGAGGAUGUGAAUGAAUAUUAAUGGAGCAUCCUCCAAGUUCCAGGGAUACUGAUUAUCCUGCUUUACCGUUAAUCCUACUAACCUGUGAGGUCAAUCAUAUCAUAUUUUACAGACCAGAAACUGUUUCUGAGAGGUUAACAGCAACUUUUCUGAGCUUAAGGAAGUAGCAAGUGACGGCGAAGUUGUGAACCUCCAGAAAAUACGUUCUUUCUAUUUUCCGCCCUAUGCUUGCCUCCUUCUUAGCAAGCCUCGGGAGUCAGGAAAUCAAGUGUCGUGGCUGAGUCUCCCAUCACAGUAAACAAGAGAAUAGAAUCACUUGUUUCUUUGGUUGAGAAAACAUUGCUGAAGAUGAGGGACAUUGCCCCUGACCUUUUUUUUUAAACCCACAGUGGGACAGGGUCGGGGGGGGGUGUCCCCAGACAGACUGGCUUAUCUCUUAGUCUCUACUCAAGUUCUCAUCUGUGUACUUGACUUUGCUCAUUGCUCAUCAGCAAGGCCUGUGGCUCACAGAAAAUGCACCCGGUUUCUUAGCCAGGGAAUCAGGUUGAUAUUUAAGACGAAAGAGGAUUGCAAAAAGAAAAGACUGUUUAUUUUAAAGGGUCACUUGGGACUGGCUUUGCAGAUCCUACCGCUUUAAGCCAGAUUUUGGUUCGAUUGCUGGCAGUGCUGGUUGGAUUAGACGUGUGCAACAUGCUCCUGAGACCCCAAGAUCCUCUGCCAGCCAUUAAACGGUCCUGCAGGUCGUAGGGGGGAACGCUGACUAUCAGCUCACGAAGCCCAGCCCCACCCCUGUGCUGGGAGACGGCUUCCUUACACCCAGCCUCUAGACAGGAUUUGUUUAAUGGGUGGUUUUAAAGCACUUCCUCUGCCGCAUUAAGUCACGAGGGUCAAAAAUACUACCUGCUUCCAGGAGCAUCUAGUUAGAGGGAGGGAGGGGGCUGUUUAAAAAAGACCAAUAGGGAGUUCCUGUUGUGGUGCAGUGGAAACGAAUUCAACUAGGAACCAUGAGGUUGUGGGUUCGAUCCCUGGCCUCGCUUAGUGGGUUAAGGAUCCAGCGUUGCUGUGAGCCGUGGUGGAGGUCGCAGAUUCAGCUUGGAUCUGGCGUUGCUGUGGCUCUGGUGUAGGCCGGUGGCAACAGCUCCCAAUAGACCCCUAGCCUGGGGACCUCCAUAUGCCAUGGGUGUGGCCCUAAAAAGACAAAAAAAAAGGAACCAACAGGUUUCAGUAAACAGAUAGUCCUGUGCUCCACAGGUGAGGAGGAGACUCGAAGGUCACCCAGCGCAUGCCCAGGUUUGGGGGAGGCAGGCAAAGUCAGUGGCCUGUGUUUGCUCAUGGGUUGGUCCAGGAGGAUCCCUACAGCAGCACCCUGCGAGGCUUGAGAAUCAGGUCCUUAGACCCUGAGGGCUACAGCUCAGUGUGUGCGCCUGGCUAGACCCCUCUGGGGGGUGAAACUGGCACCUCUGAUCCCCCACCGCCACCCCAGGAUGUCGAAUGCCAGCUUAGACCAUGAGCUCUUCUGAAUUGCCUUCUCAGCAGCUGGAGCAUGCUUCUAGAAACUUCUCUUCUGUCAGCUGCUGGAAAUCUGUCCUAGAUGCUCCUUCCCCUAGCUGCUGGCUGGGGCCAGUGCCCAACCUCUCUGUUUUCUGUUGGAUUGAUGUCUUUGUGUUAUUUCCCGCAGCUUGUAAGUUGCUCUUGAGACUCCAAGCUCUCCUCUCCUAUCCCAUUCUGCCUCUGGGUCAGCUUCUGUCCCCCCAUCCUCCCAUCCCAGGCUUCUCGCUGCCUCGCUGGUGGCUCAGUACCAUUCAAGUCCCAGAGCGUCUCAUUUGGGAGUUGGAACAGCAACAGAUCGGACCCUGGAUUCAGCCCUGUGGGGCCUCCUUGAUUUAUACCCAUCGGGUUUAUAACUCCCCUUCGAGGCUUUAACUUCGACCCUAGAGCCCGGCCAACACAAUGCCCAGCUCUGCAACUUGGCACAGAAACUGCAGCCUAGGAUAGAAGAAAAUCCUUACUGAGAU
RNAcentral lists this long non-coding RNA (6270 nucleotides) under Sus scrofa (pig). RNAcentral's name for it is "lncRNA (ENSSSCG00000055142.1)". The record is from RNAcentral. Lineage: Eukaryota; Metazoa; Chordata; Mammalia; Artiodactyla; Suidae.